Molecule: long non-coding RNA, 6576 nt
Filed under: Podarcis lilfordi (Lilford's wall lizard)
Lineage: Eukaryota; Metazoa; Chordata; Lepidosauria; Squamata; Lacertidae
Source: RNAcentral
UCCUUUCCCUCCUUUUUAAUCCUAAUCUUUAAUCUUGAUAUAUUAUAACAUUAAAUUUUUACAUAUUAAAAACCAAUUUUUCCAUAUUCUUUUAUACCAGUACAGCUAGAAACCACUUAACUUCAAUCCAACAUCAUUCUAACAUUCAUUAAUUUUGCAAUAUUUCUGUAAAUAGUCUUUAAAUUUCUUCCAAUCUUCUUCCACCGACUCUUCUCCCUGGUCUCGGAUUCUGCCAGUCAUUUCCGCCAAUUCCAUGUAGUCCAUCAAUUUCAUCUGCCAUUCCUCCAGUGUGGGUAAGUCUUGUGUCUUCCAAUGCUUUGCAAUAAGUAUUCUUGCUGCUGUUGUAGCAUACAUAAAGAAAGUUCUGUCCUUUUUCACCGAUUGGCCGACUACGCCCAGGAGGAAGGCCUCUGGUUUCUUCAAGAAGGUAUAUUUAAAUACCUUUUUUAGUUCAUUAUAAAUCAUCUCCCAGAAAGCCUUAAUCCUUGGGCACGUCCACCAAAGGUGAAAAAAUGUACCUUCAGUUUCUUUACAUUUCCAACAUUUAUUAUCAGGCACAUGGUAGAUUUUUGCAAGCUUGACUGGGGUUAUGUACCACCUGUAUAUCAUUUUCAUAAUAUUUUCUCUUAAGGCAUUACAUGCCGUAAAUUUCAUACCUGUGGUCCACAACUGUUCCCAGUCAGCAAACAUAAUAUUAUGUCCAACGUCUUGUGCCCAUUUAAUCAUAGCAGAUUUCACCGUUUCAUCCUGAGUAUUCCAUUUCAGCAGCAAGUUAUACAUCUUUGACAAAAUCUUAGUUUUGGGUUCUAACAAUUCUGUUUCUAAUUUUGAUUUUUCCACCUGGAAGCCAAUUUUCUUGUCCAAAUUGUAUGCCUCCAUUAUCUGAUAAUAAUGAAGCCAGUCUCACACUUUAUUUUUUAAUUUUUCAAAACUCUGCAGUUUCAAUCUAUCUCCAUCUUGUUCCAAAAUUUCCCAAUAUUUCGGCCAAUUGACCUCCAUAUUAAGCUUUUUCAGAGCUUUCACUUCCAUCGGUGACAGCCACCUUGGGGUUUCAUUUUCCAAUAAAUCCUUAUAUUUUAUCCAAACAUUAAACAAUGCUUUCCUAACAAUAUGGUUUUUAAAUGCUUUAUGUGCUUUGACCUUAUCAUACCACAAAUAUGCAUGCCAUCCAAAUACAUUGUUAAAACCUUCUAAAUCCAAAAUGUCAGUGUUUUCAAGGAGCAGCCAUUCUUUCAACCAGCAAAAAGCUGUGGAUUCAUAAUAAAGUUUGAGGUCUGGCAGGGCAAAUCCACCUCUUUCCUUUGCAUCUGUUAAUAUUUUGAAUUUUAUUCUGGGCUUCUUGCCCUGCCAGACAAAUCUAGAAAUAUCUCUCUGCCACCUCUUGAAACAGUCCAUUUUGUCCACAAUUUGCAAUGUUUGAAACAAAAACAACAUUCUAGGCAAUACAUUCAUUUUAACUGCAGCAAUACGGCCCAACAGUGAAAGCUUCAAAUUUGACCAAAUUUCUAAAUCUUUUUUCACUUCAGCCCAACAUUUUUCAUAGUUAUCUUUAAAUAAAUUCCCAUUUUUUGCUGUCAUGAUAAUCCCCAGGUAUUUAACUUUCUUAACCACUGUUAAACCUGUCUCAUUCUGAAACCUCUCUCUCUCUAUUGGUGUUAAAUUUUUCCCUAUACACAGUUUCUCAUGCAGGAAGUGUGUGGUGUAUGAAGUGAAAGAUGGAGCCUAAUCUUAACAGUAAAGCGCCUAAAAGAGACACAUUGAAACUGCAGACGGGGUUCUGAUUGAGUCAGUGACCACAAAUCACAUGUGGAAAUCAGGAGGCACAUACAUAUUAUGCCUGGUGGAGAGAAAUAAUUUGUAACCAGCUUAAAGGAGGUAAGUCUGAAACAAAAACCAUAUUUUCUCCAUCUCCCCAAUUUGUUGAGAGGCCUCCAGCAGUUUGAGAAGCAUAAGUGCCACAGGAGUUUAAAUUUCCAUUCUCCCAGGAGCAAAGGCAGUAGCAGGGAAGAUACAGCAGGGCACUGAACUAAAUGCUAUUUAGCAUACCCUCCAAUAUUUAUCCAAUAAAAAUAGGGACAUCCCACUCCGUAAUGAUAAUUUCACUAUUUAUACCCCACACAUCUGAUUGGGUUGCCCCAGCACUCUUGGGCAGCUUCCAACAUAUAUAAAAAACAUAAUAAAACAUUAAACAUUUAAAGCACUUCCUUAUACAGGAUUGCCUUCAGACGGCUCGGGGAUAGCUCCAUACUCUCCAACGAAAAUAGGGACAUCCUAAGCAAAAGUGGGACAUUCUGGGAUCAAAUCAUAAACCGGGACAGCUUCUCUAAAUCAGGGACAUCCCUGGAAAAUAGAGAUACUUGGAGCAUCUGAAUUAGUGAAUGCUAUCAUAGAAACAUCAUCCAGUUAUUUAGGAGUGAACUUCUUAAUGCUGAGGUACAUACCAACCAACAAAAGAUGUAUCCACAAUCCAUUUCUGGCUUUGCUUUAUGAAGCCAUCUAAUUUUACCCACAAAGAGUGUUGCAGGGCAGGUGCCAGUAAUGGAAGCCCUGGCAUCUUUUUUUUCUGGUGGAGUUUCUCUCUCUCAACAGCUGCCAGAAAAACAGAAGUUCCACAGGUGGAGCUUUCAGCAGCGUUGAGAGGCAAUGAGGAGAAAAUAUUGUGGUGUGACCACAAGUGCCCCAAGUCUCCCAAGUUCUUGUUUCGUGUUAAGAAGGAACCUGGAUCUAGAAGAAUGGGAUAUGUACCUACUUGCAUUGGAGAGAAUAGGGCUAUCAUCCCCGCCUCACCUGUUCUGCCUUUAUUCCUGAAAUAAGAAUAUUGAGGGGUCCCUUCAAAGGGUUCAGUUUCUAAAGGAAGACCCGAGCUUCGGAGAGAGCGUACCUUUUAAGGCUCAAACCGGUCAGGAAAUGAACAGCGACCAGACCAGGAUACUCCUGUAAUCUGAUCCACUCCAUCUCCUGCCCUACGGAGGGUUACGGAGUCAAUUGCCCUUCCACCCCAGAAUGGGAUCUGACUUUGAGGGUUCCAACCAGGGUGUCUGGUGCUCUACCAUCACCAGCGCCUAAGGAUAAAGUUCCUUCAGCCCUCCAACCCAAUGUUCUGUGCACGCCUACAUGCAGACUUUCCGGAUCAUUGCUUCUUCUCGUAACCACAAUCCAAAGAUCCCCCGAUCAGGGAUAGCCAAUGUGGUGCCCUACAAGUGUUGCUUCCACCAUCCUUAGACAGCAUGGCUUGUGGUCAGGGAUGAUGGGAGUUGUAGUCCUGCAACAUCCAGUGGGGAUCACUUUGGCUACUCCUGAUGCAGAUGCAAACACUUCAACUUGAAGUGAUAUAUGCAGUUCCUCGCUAUUGCCACCAGGUGUCUCUCUGAAACUGAAUAAAGUGGAUAGGAUGGGUCUGGAAAUGGGCUGGUCCAGAUGUAUUGGGACCCAAGAUAAAACAUCCACUACAAUGAAGGAGUGGGCAUUGUUCUUGCACAACUCCUGUUCAUCUCUGUGGGGAUUCAGCUAUGGAUUUGUGCUCCGUGGGUCAGAUGGGGCUGUCCAUCGCGUUAGUGGCACCCAAACUCUAAUGCCCCAGCUGACCCCUUAGUCAGGUUGCUAAAAUAGUGAGGAAUCAUAGAAUCAUAGAGUUGGAAGAGACCACAAGGGCCAUCGAGUCCAACCCCCUGCCAAGCAGGAAACACCAUCAGAGCACUCCUGACAUAUGGUUGUCAAGCCUCUGCUUAAAGACCUCCAAAGAAGGAGACUCCACCACACUCCUUGGCAGCAAAUUCCACUGUCGAACAGCUCUUACUGUCAGGAAGUUCUUCCUAAUGUUUAGGUGGAAUCUUCUUUCUUGUAGUUUGGAUCCAUUGCUCCGUGUCCGCUUCUCUGGAGCAGCAGAAAACAACCUUUCUCCCUCCUCUAUGUGACAUCCUUUUAUAUAUUUGAACAUGGCUAUCAUAUCACCCCUGAACCUCCUCUUCUCCAGGCUAAACAUGCCCAGCUCCCUUAGCCGUUCCUCAUAAGGCAUCGUUUCCAGGCCUUUGACCAUUUUGGUUGCCCUCCUCUGGACACGUUCCAGUUUGUCAGUGUCCUUCUUGAACUGUGGUGCCCAGAACUGGACACAGUACUCCAGGUGAGGUCUGACCAGAGCUGAAUACAGUGGCACUAUUACUUCCCUUGAUCUAGAUGCUAUACUCCUAUUGAUGCAGCCCAGAAUUGCAUUGGCUUUUUUAGCUGCCGCAUCACACUGUUGGCUCAUGUCAAGUUUGUGGUCAACCAAGACUCCUAGAUCCUUUACACAUGUACUGCUCUCAAGUCAGGUGUCACCCAAAACUAGGCUGCUAGUUAGAACUGAGGACCUGCUAUGGCUGACUGGUGUCCAUUGGGACUGGUAGGGUGGGAGCCCAACAGUAGGUGGUGCCAGAGAACCCACAACUGGCAGAGACAACUCCUAGUCCCCCCCCCCAUCCUUCUCCCUGUGGAGUGUGCAAGGAGCAAUGCUGGGACUAAGGAGGGGAAACCUGGCAGGCAGUCCCGCCCCCUGGAGAGGCUGGGAGUGGGAAGGGAGGGCAGGUGGGUGUUGAUGAAGGUUGUUGGGGCAGUGCCCCAUUCCCCUAACAGAUCAGCCUCUGCUAGGGCCUGUGUUUGCAGAAUUACUGGGAGUGGGAAUUAAUGGUGGGGGCAGGGCAGGCAAGCCAGUUGCUGGGUCUCAGGCUGCAUAAGCACCAAACAUUUAAAGCACAAAAAAGAAUCCCAGGACUCGGUCCAGGACUCUGUGAAGGAUGCAUAAUGGUGGCCUGGCAGCUAGUAAAAGUGCUGUUAUUGUCACCAGAGCCACGGAGGGGAGAACCAAGUUAGUUGCUCCGGGUGAAGCCUCCAGAGGGUGUCACUGAGGCUCUCAGCUUGCGUGUGACCGCAAAUGCACAUGGGAGGGUGCCACAACAGCAACACCCCUUAAGAAAAAAAGAGAAAGGAACUGUGUGAAAAAAGUAAAGGAACAGUUCCACGGCCACUGCUAAUGACAAGUCCUACACCUGAGAAAAUGUGGGAGGAUUUCUCUGUCUCCUGGAGAAUUAAGUAAAAUCUACCCCACCCCCAAAAAAGUUCUCUGCCCACAACUGGGAUUGAGAAAUUUGAGAGACCCUUGGCCACAGCUCCAUUUUUCUGUCUUCCCAACCAUACAAUCAAAAACCAGAAGAUGCAAGGAAAAUUACCCUUUUAUUACUUAAAAAGAAAAAACCCCAUACAGCAGAGUGGCACAGGACAUGUUGUUAGGUGCCAACUAAUGUGUUAAUUAUUCUUGACUAGGCGUCCUGAAUCCUGUUUUGGCGCCCAGUUCUUUGUUCAGAGUCCCAUCUUCCCAGAAUAGGUCUCCUUUUCCUUAAUCCUUUAAUUCAACACUGUUAUUUAUGAGAAGGGGAAUAAAUCACAGCCUUCUUUUCGCUCCUGAAAAUGGACUUUUAUGGCUUUUGACGGGGUUGGGUUUCUGCUGCCCUUAGAUGGCGAGGAGCGAUUGCCAUUAACCCUUGCCUUGCAGGGGUGAGAGAGGUUGUAGCGGGUGGGGAGGGUCCUUUGUGGCUGGGCGGAAACUCCCCAAAGCCCAGCAGCUCCAGCUAAGGGCAUCUGAAGGAAUGUGGCUUCUCAGGGUUUGUCAGGAGGAGACUGAAGGAUGUUUUCUUUUCUGCACAUUUCGAAGCACAAACUGGUUGUGGUUUGCUUUGCUUUCUCUAUAUAUAUUUAAAUGCUUUUAGAACCCCAUCUGCAUUUCUGUUUUAUCUUAAAAGUCUUCUGGUGUGGUGGUGGAGAAUGGAUACGACGAGUCAGGGUUUUAGGAAUUUUUGAAAACCAAGAGCUUUGUAACUUGCAUUCAAGUUUUGCAUUUCCUUGUUCAGAUCCUUUUUAAGAAAAAAAUAUUUUGUAGGCUUUUGAAGCUUAGACACCAGAGUUUUGGUUUUAGGAAUUAAACAACAAUAACUACGUAACUUUCAUGCAGUUUUGUCUUUCCUUCCUCAGAUUCUUUAAGAAAAAUGCCCUUUCGCCUAUGAUGGUUUACAGCCCACUGAUAAUGUCUUGCAGCACAAACCCAACUGUGUCUACUGAGAAGUAAGUCCUAUUGAAUUCAGUGGGCUUACUCCCAGGCAAGUAGGGUUAUGAUUGCCAUUGUCCCUUGGCUCUUUGUAACUUGUGGUACAACAGUCUACAUGUCUGUCAGUCUGGAGAAGGAAGAAUGUGGCUCUGACCUGCUUUCCAAGGAAUUGGCUUCUUUAAAUAGAGCACUGUUCUUCUGCAGGGGACGUUGCCUCUUUUGCUGGGAAUGAACUGCAACCAUUUCAUCAUGACAUCAUAGGGGAAGAGGAGCAGAGUGUUGCUUGAUCCAGAGCCAGGAGAUCAUGCUUUUGACUCAGAUCUCUCAGGUCCGAGCUCAGCUUCUAGUUUAGCCAUGGACUCACCGGGUGUGCUCAAGUAUUUAAGUCUCUGUUAUCCAUCUGUAAAAUGGGCAUUGCCUGCAGAUGUUGGGCACAAUGAGAUCACCUACAUAAAUGUGCUCGAUCCUCUAUCAGCAUGCGCAGACCAUCUUUUGAACCUAAC